CUAAAGGAAAACUACGUGGUCCUUUGCCUAACUAAUGAAGUUUGAGAGGAGAAAUUGGUUUCGAACUUGGGGCAAAUUCAUAAGAACUGUCUCUUGACUCAAAACAUAGAAGAAAUAUCUUUUGUAGAUUCAAUAUCAAUGGCUACCAAGUGAUUGGGAUUUCAAUUUAUGUCCUUUUCUUUAUGUUUUCUUCUUAAUGCAGAAACUCAAUAUUCUUGUGAUAAUCAUUAGACUCGACUACCAACCACAGGAAAUGAUUACAGUAUUAAUAUUACCCUUAUAUACAAAGUGAAUAUUGUUAUUAUUAUAGCAUUAAUUAUUCAAGCCAAGGUAUGCAUCAAUUGUCUUAAUCUCUUACUAAUAGUGCUCCCACACAACUAUCUCUAAUUGUUGAGUGGAACCCAUAAUACUGGAGCGUGCAGAAUGAUACUCCUCUUGUUGCUGUUACUCUUCAACUCAUUGUAAUCACCAUUAUGAUUUGAGCAAAAUUUUCUUUAAGCAAUUCAUUUUUCUAUUUCAGGAUGCAUAUGAUGGGGCAAAACAUGACUCUCUACAAACAAAUUAACUUGCUAUAUAGACCUUGCCUGAACUUCAAUUUCCUCUAGCUACUGUUCAGUUUUCUCUAUAUAGAAUAAGCGUAGCAAAUUACUUUACAUGAAAUUAUUACACAACAUAAACCAUGCCAACCUCUAGAAGAGACACUGGUGGAACUUUGAGCGCCACAUCAGGGCCCCUGCAGUUCCUUCCAAGGAAAUUAUAUCCAAAAUUAAUAGCCAAUCUCUUCAGGAGAGACGACCCUUGUUUCGCUUGAACAUGCGAAUGCCCUAGUAUAAAUGCAGUACCAGCUUGCUGAGCCGCAAACAGAUCUUCUAGCUCGUCUUUUAACUGCACAUGCAUAUCAGAUUGUGAAUCAUCAUCAAUGGCAAACCUCACUCUUCUUUCAACUAUAGGUUCCAUUUCAAUAACAUCGGCCAUACUUUCUAAUGUCAAAAAUCCACCAGAUACACUUGCUGGCUGGACAGUCUCCUCAAUCUCAUAAGCUGGUAAGCCAGAUAAUGAAUUGGUUCCAAUUACUGUCAGUCUAUAUUCACUCGAUGAUGCAAUGGAUCGAGAAGCAUCAUCCUCAGUACACGAGUUAGUCCCAUGUGCUCGAUGCCAAUCAUAGUUGAUGAAAUCAGCCAGCCUAGCUACAAGCUCAGAUUCAAAAGAAUCAACAUCCUGAUGCACGUCACGGUAUCCAUAACGAACAAUGCAUCUGUAAGAUCUAUGAGAUGGAGGGCCAACACGGCCCACAAGAUACCUCUCAUUAGGGGGCACGUAAGGGACAGGCACUGAUUUUACACACACAAAUACAAGGAUACGAUGGAAGGCAGGAAGGUUAGUGACAAAGCGUGAAAAGUUUGCAGGGAUGCCAGAGGUGAGAUCAGUGAAAACUAUGCCAAUGCCAGGCACUCUAGCAAUUCCUAAGCUUGGACCUAAGGCUAAAAGCCAGUCUAGUGAUACCUUGUUAUGGAGAUC
Molecule: unclassified non-coding RNA, 1518 nt
Filed under: Hevea brasiliensis (rubber tree)
Lineage: Eukaryota; Viridiplantae; Streptophyta; Magnoliopsida; Malpighiales; Euphorbiaceae
Source: RNAcentral